UACGUAGGUGGCAAGCGUUGUCCGGAUUUACUGGGCGUAAAGGGUGCGCAGGCGGACCUUUAAGUAGAAAGUGAAAGGUUGGAGCUCAACUCCAACAUUGCUUUCUAUACUGGAGGUCUUGAGUGCUGGAGAGGAAAGCGGAACGACACGUGUAGCGGUGAAAUGCGUUGAUAUGUGUCGGAACACCAAUGGCGAAGGCAGCUUUCUGGACAGUUACUGACGCUCAGGCACGAAAGCCAAGGGAGAGAAC
RNAcentral lists this ribosomal RNA (250 nucleotides) under uncultured bacterium. Its description in RNAcentral is "partial 16S ribosomal RNA". It matches the Rfam family "Bacterial small subunit ribosomal RNA", at positions 524 to 773 of the family's 1533-position model. The record is from RNAcentral.